CAAAGGGCCAGUGCAAUGGUUGGAUGUACAAACAGGGGUGCGAAGUCCACCACCUCCUGCAAACAGAGCUGAAACGAGAGAGGGGAUGUAUUUAUAUUGACUCCAAAACUGCCCACAUUGGUUGCUCAGAAGGACAUUCGCUGACUGUGCUGCACUGGUUCUCACAACAGGAUGUGAAGGAAAAGACUUAGCUGCAACCACUGUAAGUCCAGUCAACCAGCCUCCUCCUCCUCCUCACUGCCUGGUUACCAGCUGUGGGAGCGUAGAGAGAACAGGAGUGACAGUCUCCCUCCAGAGAAAGUCGUACUCAUCCCCUGCAGCCCCAGGCUGGAGCAUGUUCCACACAGAUGGAAUCUUCAGGGAAUUUAGCUGCCAAAAUCGUACAAGAGACUAUUCAGCAUAUGUGAAAUGAGGUGUUUCUAAGGCUUAUAAUUUGAUCAACUAGAGGCAGUUUUUCCACAAGAACAGCAAAGCCAAACCCCUGACACAAAGUCAACCCUCCUGUCAAAUGUCAAGUUCCUGCUCCAAAGCAUGGAGGUGCUAAAGCUUCUCAACAAAAUGGGUGUGAAUUUUUUUUAA
Mauremys mutica (yellowpond turtle) is the source of this 579-nucleotide long non-coding RNA. RefSeq lists it as uncharacterized. The record is from RefSeq and is a predicted model, not a curated record. Lineage: Eukaryota; Metazoa; Chordata; Testudines; Geoemydidae. The transcript has 4 exons.